This 305-nucleotide ribosomal RNA is filed under the name uncultured bacterium. RNAcentral describes it as "bacterial SSU rRNA". It matches the Rfam family "Bacterial small subunit ribosomal RNA", at positions 30 to 334 of the family's 1533-position model. The record is from RNAcentral.
AUUGAACGCUGGCGGUAGGCUUAACACAUGCAAGUCGAGCGCGAAAAGUCUUCGGACUGAGUAGAGCGGCGGACGGGUGAGUAACGCGUAGGAAUCUACCCAGUGGUGGGGGACAACCUGGGGAAACCCAGGCUAAUACCGCAUACGCCCCAAGGGGGAAAGCGGGGGCUCUCUUCGGAGACCUCGCGCCAUUGGAUGAGCCUGCGUCGGAUUAGCUAGUUGGUGGGGUAAAGGCCUACCAAGGCGACGAUCCGUAGCUGGUCUGAGAGGACGAUCAGCCACACUGGGACUGAGACACGGCCCAG